GACGAACGCUGGCGGCGUGCUUAACACAUGCAAGUCGAACGGUAAGGCCCUUCGGGGUACACGAGUGGCGAACGGGUGAGUAACACGUGGGUGAUCUGCCCUGCACUUCGGGAUAAGCCUGGGAAACUGGGUCUAAUACCGGAUAGGACCACUGCCUGCAUGGGUGGUGGUGGAAAGCUUUUGCGGUGUGGGAUGGGCCCGCGGCCUAUCAGCUAGUUGGUGAGGUAACGGCUCACCAAGGCGACGACGGGUAGCCGGCCUGAGAGGGUGACCGGCCACACUGGGACUGAGACACGGCCCAGACUCCUACGGGAGGCAGCAGUGGGGAAUAUUGCACAAUGGGCGCAAGCCUGAUGCAGCAACGCCGCGUGAGGGAUGACGGCCUUCGGGUUGUAAACCUCUUUUAGUAGGGAAGAAGCGAAAGUGACGGUACCUGCAGAAAAAGCACCGGCUAACUACGUGCCAGCCGCCGCCGUAA
This 478-nucleotide ribosomal RNA is filed under the name uncultured bacterium. RNAcentral describes it as "partial 16S ribosomal RNA". It matches the Rfam family "Bacterial small subunit ribosomal RNA", at positions 28 to 523 of the family's 1533-position model. The record is from RNAcentral.